CGUCUGUGGAGUAGUUGGUAACGCCUUGGCUUAGUAAGUGCAAGUUCUAGGUUCAAGUCCUGGUCGGGAUGA
This is a non-coding RNA of Halocaridina rubra (Hawaiian volcano shrimp), 72 nucleotides long. NCBI's taxonomy places the organism in Eukaryota, Metazoa, Arthropoda, Malacostraca, Decapoda, Atyidae. The record is from the annotation of a GenBank genome assembly.